UACAGAGGCCUCAAGCGUUGUUCGGAUUCAUUGGGCGUAAAGGGUGCGUAGGUGGCGCGGUAAGUCGGGUGUGAAAUCUCGGAGCUUAACUCCGAAAUUGCAUUCGAUACUGCCGUGCUCGAGGACUGGAGAGGAGACUGGAAUUCAUGGUGUAGCAGUGAAAUGCGUAGAGAUCAUGAGGAAGACCAGUGGCGAAGGCGGGUCUCUGGACAGUUCCUGACACUGAAGCACGAAGGCCAGGGGAGCAAACGGG
This 253-nucleotide ribosomal RNA is filed under the name uncultured bacterium. Its description in RNAcentral is "partial 16S ribosomal RNA". It matches the Rfam family "Bacterial small subunit ribosomal RNA", at positions 524 to 776 of the family's 1533-position model. The record is from RNAcentral.